This 164-nucleotide small nuclear RNA is filed under the name Erpetoichthys calabaricus (reedfish). RNAcentral describes it as "U1 spliceosomal RNA (ENSECRG00000013240.1)". It matches the Rfam family "U1 spliceosomal RNA". From Rfam's summary of the family: U1 is a small nuclear RNA (snRNA) component of the spliceosome (involved in pre-mRNA splicing). Its 5' end forms complementary base pairs with the 5' splice junction, thus defining the 5' donor site of an intron. There are significant differences in sequence and secondary structure between metazoan and yeast U1 snRNAs, the latter being much longer (568 nucleotides as compared to 164 nucleotides in human). The record is from RNAcentral. Lineage: Eukaryota; Metazoa; Chordata; Cladistia; Polypteriformes; Polypteridae.
UAUCUUACCUGGCAGGGGAGAUACCAUGAUCACUAAGAUGGUUCUCCCAGGGUGAGGCUCAUCCAUUGCACUCCGGGUGUGCUGACUCCUGCGAUUUCCCCAAAUGCGGGAAACUCGACUGCAUAAUUUGUGGUAGUGGGGGACUGUGUUCGCGCUCUCCCCUA